This 288-nucleotide ribosomal RNA is filed under the name Pseudocellus boneti. Its description in RNAcentral is "partial small subunit ribosomal RNA". Lineage: Eukaryota; Metazoa; Arthropoda; Arachnida; Ricinulei; Ricinoididae. The record is from RNAcentral.
AGCUUGGGUAGUAUGAGGUGCUCUUGAAACCUGAGGGUUUUGGCGGUCUUCUUUCUUAUUAGAGGAAUUUGCCCUGUGAUCGAUAAUCCUCGUUUUAUUUUACUUGAUUGGUGUUUGUAUAUCGCUGUUGAUGGUUUCUUUUGAGUGGGAUUCUAGUUAAACUAUUUCGUUACAUCAAGUCAAGGUGCAGCUUGUAUUUAAGUUUGAGGUGAGUUACAAUAAAAUGUUGUGGAUUGUUAUGUGUAAUAUUAAUUUGAUAUUGGAUUUAAUAGUAAUUUGAUAUUAAUG